This 468-nucleotide ribosomal RNA is filed under the name uncultured bacterium. RNAcentral describes it as "partial 16S ribosomal RNA". It matches the Rfam family "Bacterial small subunit ribosomal RNA", at positions 28 to 507 of the family's 1533-position model. The record is from RNAcentral.
GACGAACGCUGGCGGCGUGCUUAACACAUGCAAGUCGAACGGAAAGGCCCUGCUUUUGUGGGGUGCUCGAGUGGCGAACGGGUGAGUAACACGUGAGUAACCUGCCCUUUACUUUGGGAUAACUUCAGGAAACUGUGGCUAAUACCUGAUAGGAGCUCCUGCUGCAUGGUGGGGGUUGGAAAGUUUCGGCGGGUGGGGAUGGACUCGCGGCUUAUCAGCUUGUUGGUGGGGUAGUGGCUUACCAAGGCUUUGACGGGUAGCCGGCCUGAGAGGGUGACCGGCCACAUUGGGACUGAGAGACGGCCCAGACUCCUACGGGAGGCAGCAGUGGGGAAUAUUGCACAAUGGGCGGAAGCCUGAUGCAGCAACGCCGCGUGCGGGAUGACGGCCUUCGGGUUGUAAACCGCUUUCGCCUGUGACGAAGCGUGAGUGACGGUAAUGGGUAAAGAAGCACCGGCUAACUACGUG